Myotis lucifugus (little brown bat) is the source of this 75-nucleotide non-coding RNA. NCBI's taxonomy places the organism in Eukaryota, Metazoa, Chordata, Mammalia, Chiroptera, Vespertilionidae. The record is from Rfam.
GGUGGUUCUCAGGUCACGCACCCCAGAAUCGGGCUCCCUCCUUUCUGGUUCUGGGUGCGUCACCUGAGAACUGCA